GUGGCAAGCGUUGUCCGGAUUUAUUGGGCGUAAAGCGAGUGCAGGCGGAUCAAUAAAGAUGAUGGUGAAACCUUCGGCUCAACCGGAGAAUUGCAUCAGAAACUGUUGAACUUGAGUGCAGAAGAGGAGAGUGGAACUCCAUGUGUAGCGGUGGAAUGCGUAGAUAUAUGGAAGAACACCAGUGGCGAAGGCGGCUCUCUGGUCUGCAACUGACGCUGAGGCUCGAAAGCAUGGGUAGCGAAC
RNAcentral lists this ribosomal RNA (243 nucleotides) under uncultured bacterium. RNAcentral's name for it is "partial 16S ribosomal RNA". It matches the Rfam family "Bacterial small subunit ribosomal RNA", at positions 531 to 773 of the family's 1533-position model. The record is from RNAcentral.